CGAAAUAUAUGUAGAUAUCACUGUCGCUCUCAUCCUCUCAAUCUCUCAAUCAUUCUAUCCCGGCGAUCCCCGCAACGGAGGGAAGUGGCAGAGGCGGCUGUGUUCUUUAUCAACCUGGAUCAACACGGCCGGGCCGGCAAGGGGAGGAGCGGUGGCGUUCUUUAUCAACUUGGAUCAACAUGGCCGGGCCGGCGAGGGGAGGAGCGGCGGUGGCGUUGGUCGUGGCCGGCGAGGAGAGGAGCGGCGGCGGUGUUGGGUGGCUGUCGCCCGUCGGAGCUAGGCGAGAAAGGAGCAGGCGGCGGCGGCUCAACUUCACAUCCCGUGGUGGCCAUUUGUUUGAUUACUCAAGUGCGGUUGUGGCAUUUCCAUUGUUAGGAUAAAUGGAAUUCUGGUGCUAGGAUAAAUGGACUUGUUGGUUUCCUCUAAGAUGGAUAUUUUGCAGCCACAAGCCAGAGAAAAAGGUGGUAAAUGUUGGCACAAAAUGAAGGUCAUGUGAUUGCUAAGGAUCCGUCCGAACCACACGAAGAUUCGUGGAGUGUUGUUGCCCCUUCAGGCGACCUGAUGUUGGGCCGAGAGCCUUGGACGAAGAUAGGUCAUCGCCAUGAACGAGUCAACAUGUGUCUUUGCUAGAGUGGACGGACCGUGUUCUUAGUGACAUCUACUUCACUUUUUUACUUAUCAAAAGGAUCGAACGAUUAAAAGCAUUUUAUCUAUGUUGAUAAAUUUAUUCUCUUAUAAAUUUUCGUGUUUAUU
Long non-coding RNA from Lolium perenne, 753 nucleotides. RefSeq lists it as uncharacterized. Lineage: Eukaryota; Viridiplantae; Streptophyta; Magnoliopsida; Poales; Poaceae. The record is from RefSeq and is a predicted model, not a curated record.